This 497-nucleotide ribosomal RNA is filed under the name uncultured bacterium. RNAcentral's name for it is "partial 16S ribosomal RNA". It matches the Rfam family "Bacterial small subunit ribosomal RNA", at positions 28 to 507 of the family's 1533-position model. The record is from RNAcentral.
GAUGAACGCUGGCGGCGUGCCUAAUACAUGCAAGUCGAGCGAACAGACGAGGAGCUUGCUCCUCUGACGUUAGCGGCGGACGGGUGAGUAACACGUGGAUAACCUACCUAUAAGACUGGGAUAACUUCGGGAAACCGGAGCUAAUACCGGAUAAUAUAUUGAACCGCAUGGUUCAAUAGUGAAAGACGGUUUUGCUGUCACUUAUAGAUGGAUCCGCGCCGCAUUAGCUAGUUGGUAAGGUAACGGCUUACCAAGGCAACGAUGCGUAGCCGACCUGAGAGGGUGAUCGGCCACACUAGAACGGAGACACGGUCCAGACUCCUAAGGGAGGCAGCAGUAGGGAAUCGUCCGCAAUGGGGGAAAGCUUGACGGAGCAACGCCGCGUGAGUGAUGAAGGUCUUCGGAUCGUAAAACUCUGUUAUUAGGGAAGAACAAAUGUGUAAGUAAAUAUGCACGUCUUGACGGUACCUAAUCAGAAAGCCACGGCUAACUACGUG